Long non-coding RNA from Dreissena polymorpha, 413 nucleotides. RefSeq lists it as uncharacterized. NCBI's taxonomy places the organism in Eukaryota, Metazoa, Mollusca, Bivalvia, Myida, Dreissenidae. The transcript has 2 exons. The record is from RefSeq and is a predicted model, not a curated record.
GCGAACCAAGAUUUUGUGAUUGCUUUGAGGGACACCGUGCUUAUGCACAAAGAAACUUUGACAAUAGUCGUUGCCGAAAUAAAUGAAAUUAUCAAAUCGUUGGAUGAGAUUGGACAAGGUCCACAACCCUCCAUAACAGUGUCAAAUGAUAAGGUUUUGUGCCAUGAAGACCAGAAAACAAUGAAAUCUUUUAACGACAGACUUGCGAUACUAUAUGCCAUUGAACAGAAGCAUACCAAAAUGUUGGAAGAGCAUCGAAGCCAUGCUGCCGAAAUUCAGGCUAGCGUAGACAGUAUAACCACUGAAAUUCAACAUCUUCACAAAAAGCUCGAAGAUCAAGGCGCAACCCUGACAUCUGUUAAUCAAAACACAACAGAAACAAAUGCAAACGUAAAAAUUAUCGCACAAGGUUU